CGGGGCGUGGCGCAGCCUGGUAGCGCGCUGCAUUUGGGGUGCAGAGGUCGGAGGUUCGACUCCUCUCGCCCCGACCA
This 77-nucleotide transfer RNA is filed under the name Gammaproteobacteria bacterium. RNAcentral describes it as "tRNA-Pro". It matches the Rfam family "tRNA". Rfam says of the family: Transfer RNA (tRNA) molecules are approximately 80 nucleotides in length. Their secondary structure includes four short double-helical elements and three loops (D, anti-codon, and T loops). Further hydrogen bonds mediate the characteristic L-shaped molecular structure. tRNAs have two regions of fundamental functional importance: the anti-codon, which is responsible for specific mRNA codon recognition, and the 3' end, to which the tRNAs corresponding amino acid is attached (by aminoacyl-tRNA synthetases). tRNAs cope with the degeneracy of the genetic code in two manners: having more than one tRNA (with a specific anti-codon) for a particular amino acid; and 'wobble' base-pairing, i.e. permitting non-standard base-pairing at the 3rd anti-codon position. The record is from RNAcentral. RNAcentral also lists the same sequence under 2 other names. Lineage: Bacteria; Pseudomonadati; Pseudomonadota; Gammaproteobacteria.